RNAcentral lists this unclassified non-coding RNA (137 nucleotides) under Oryza sativa (Asian cultivated rice). RNAcentral describes it as "partial microRNA MIR446c-4 precursor". The record is from RNAcentral. Lineage: Eukaryota; Viridiplantae; Streptophyta; Magnoliopsida; Poales; Poaceae.
ACUAAUUGCACAGAUUGCGAUGAAUCUUUUAAGCCUAAUUGCUCUAUGAUUUGACAAUGUGGCGCUACAGUAAACAAUUGCUAAUGACGGAUUAAUUAGGCUUAAUGAAUUCAUCUCGCGGUUUACUGACAGAUUUU